ACGUAAACAACCUGCCUUCAGGAUGGGGACAACAGACGGAAACGACUGCUAAUACCGAAUAAGUUCCAAGAGCCGCAUGGCCCAUGGAAGAAAAGGUGGCCUCUACCUGUAAGCUAUCGCCUGAAGAGGGGUUUGCGUCUGAUUAGCUGGUUGGAGGGGUAACGGCCCACCAAGGCGACGAUCAGUAGCCGGUCUGAGAGGAUGAACGGCCACACUGGAACUGAGACACGGUCCAAACUCCUACGGGAGGCAGCAUG
Molecule: ribosomal RNA, 257 nt
Filed under: uncultured bacterium
Lineage: Bacteria
Description: partial 16S ribosomal RNA
Rfam family: Bacterial small subunit ribosomal RNA
Source: RNAcentral